Molecule: ribosomal RNA, 497 nt
Filed under: uncultured bacterium
Lineage: Bacteria
Description: partial 16S ribosomal RNA
Rfam family: Bacterial small subunit ribosomal RNA
Source: RNAcentral
GAUGAACGCUGGCGGCGUGCCUAAUACAUGCAAGUCGAGCGAACAGACAAGGAGCUUGCUCCUCUGACGUUAGCGGCGGACGGGUGAGUAACACGUGGAUAACCUACCUAUAAGACUGAGAUAACUUCGGGAAACCGGAGCUAAUACCGGAUAAUAUAUUGAACCGCAUGGUUCAAUAGUGAAAGACGGUUUUGCUGUCACUUAUAGAUGGAUCCGCGCCGCAUUAGCUAGUUGGUAAGGUAACGGCUUACCAAGGCAACGAUGCGUAGCCGACCUGAGAGGGUGAUCGGCCACACUGGAACUGAGACACGGUCCAGACUCCUACGGGAGGCAGCAGUAGGGAAUCUUCCGCAAUGGGCGAAAGCCUGACGGAGCAACGCCGCGUGAGUGAUGAAGGUCUUCGGAUCGUAAAACUCUGUUAUUAGGGAAGAACAAAUGUGUAAGUAACUAUGCACGUCUUGACGGUACCUAAUCAGAAAGCCACGGCUAACUACGUG